Molecule: ribosomal RNA, 432 nt
Filed under: uncultured bacterium
Lineage: Bacteria
Description: partial 16S ribosomal RNA
Rfam family: Bacterial small subunit ribosomal RNA
Source: RNAcentral
AGCGAACGCUGGCGGCAGGCCUAACACAUGCAAGUCGAACGAACCUUUCGGGGUUAGUGGCGGACGGGUGAGUAACACGUGGGAACGUGCCUUUAGGUUCGGAAUAACUCAGGGAAACUUGUGCUAAUACCGAAUGUGCCCUUCGGGGGAAAGAUUUAUCGCCUUUAGAGCGGCCCGCGUCUGAUUAGCUAGUUGGUUGAGGUAAUGGCUCACCAAGGCGACGAUCAGUAGCUGGUCUGAGAGGAUGAUCAGCCACAUUGGGACUGAGACACGGCCCAAACUCCUACGGGAGGCAGCAGUGGGGAAUCUUGCGCAAUGGGCGAAAGCCUGACGCAGCCAUGCCGCGUGAAUGAUGAAGGUCUUAGGAUUGUAAAAUUCUUUCACCGGGGACGAUAAUGACGGUACCCGGAGAAGAGGCCCCGGCUAACUUCG